RNAcentral lists this ribosomal RNA (253 nucleotides) under uncultured bacterium. RNAcentral's name for it is "partial 16S ribosomal RNA". It matches the Rfam family "Bacterial small subunit ribosomal RNA", at positions 524 to 776 of the family's 1533-position model. The record is from RNAcentral.
UACGUAGGGUGCGAGCGUUAAUCGGAAUUACUGGGCGUAAAGCGUGCGCAGGCGGUGAUGUAAGACAGGUGUGAAAUCCCCGGGCUUAACCUGGGAACUGCAUUUGUGACUGCAUCGCUGGAGUGCGGCAGAGGGGGAUGGAAUUCCGCGUGUAGCAGUGAAAUGCGUAGAUAUGUGGAGGAACACCGAUGGCGAAGGCAAUCCCCUGGGCCUGCACUGACGCUCAUGCACGAAAGCGUGGGGAGCAAACAGG